UGCCAGCCGCCGCGGUAAGACGGAGGGUGCUAGCGUUGUUCGGAAUCACUGGGCGUAAAGGGCGCGUAGGCGGCCCGAGCAGUCGGUUCGUGAAAGCCCGGGGCUCAACCCCGGAGGUGCGAUCGAUACUCUCGGGCUGGAGGCCGGAAGAGGAGGGUGGAAUACCCAGUGUAGAGGUGAAAUUCGUAGAUAUCGGGUGGAACACCAGUGGCGAAGGCGGCUAACUGGCUCGGUACUGACGCUGAGAUGCGAAAGCGUGGGGAGCAAACAGGAUUAGAUA
Molecule: ribosomal RNA, 280 nt
Filed under: uncultured bacterium
Lineage: Bacteria
Description: partial 16S ribosomal RNA
Rfam family: Bacterial small subunit ribosomal RNA
Source: RNAcentral